GAUGAACGCUGGCGGCGUGCCUAAUACAUGCAAGUCGAGCGAACAGACGAGGAGCUUGCUCCUCCGACGUUAGCGGCGGACGGGUGAGUAACACGUGGAUAACCUACCUAUAAGACUGGGAUAACUUCGGGAAACCGGAGCUAAUACCGGAUAAUAUAUUGAACCGCAUGGUUCAAUAGUGAAAGACGGUUUUGCUGUCACUUAUAGAUGGAUCCGCGCCGCAUUAGCUAGUUGGUAAGGUAACGGCUCACCAAGGCAACGAUGCGUAGCCGACCUGAGAGGGUGAUCGGCCACACUGGAACUGAGACACGGUCCAGACUCCUACGGGAGGCAGCAGUAGGGAAUCUUCCGCAAUGGGCGAAAGCCUGACGGAGCAACGCCGCGUGAGUGAUGAAGGUCUUCGGAUCGUAAAACUCUGUUAUUAGGGAAGAACAAAUGUGUAAGUAACUAUGCACGUCUUGACGGUACCUAAUCAGAAAGCCACGGCUAACUACGUG
This 497-nucleotide ribosomal RNA is filed under the name uncultured bacterium. RNAcentral's name for it is "partial 16S ribosomal RNA". It matches the Rfam family "Bacterial small subunit ribosomal RNA", at positions 28 to 507 of the family's 1533-position model. The record is from RNAcentral.